This 714-nucleotide ribosomal RNA is filed under the name uncultured organism. RNAcentral's name for it is "bacterial SSU rRNA". It matches the Rfam family "Bacterial small subunit ribosomal RNA", at positions 48 to 757 of the family's 1533-position model. The record is from RNAcentral.
CUUACACAUGCAAGUCGAGGGGUAACGAUGUAGCUUGCUACAGGCGACGACCGGCGCACGGGUGCGUAACGCGUAUGCAACUUUCCUUAUACAGGAGGAUAGCCCAGGGAAACUUGGAUUAAUACUCCAUAAUGUCACCAGGUCGCAUGGCCAGGUGAUUAAAACUCCGGUGGUAUAAGAUGGGCAUGCGUAGGAUUAGCUAGUAGGUAGUGUAACGGACUACCCAGGCAACGAUCCUUAGGGGUUCUGAGAGGAUUAUCCCCCACACUGGUACUGAGACACGGACCAGACUCCUACGGGAGGCAGCAGUGAGGAAUAUUGGUCAAUGGGCGCGAGCCUGAACCAGCCAUCCCGCGUGCAGGAUGACGGCCCUAUGGGUUGUAAACUGCUUUUCUACGCCAAGAAAGGCCCGUACGAGUACGGGAUUGACGGUAGCGUAGGAAUAAGCAUCGGCUAACUCCGUGCCAGCAGCCGCGGUAAUACGGAGGAUGCAAGCGUUAUCCGGAUUCAUUGGGUUUAAAGGGUGCGCAGGCGGGCUUGUAAGUCAGUGGUGAAAUACUGCCGCUUAACGGUAGAAUUGCCAUUGAUACUGCGAGUCUUGAGUAUGGUUGAGGUAGGCGGAAUGUGCAGUGUAGCGGUGACAUGCAUAGAGAUUGCACAGAACGCCGAUUGCGGAGGCAGCUUACUAAGCCAUAACUGACGCUGAGGCACGAA